Molecule: ribosomal RNA, 139 nt
Filed under: Theileria annulata
Lineage: Eukaryota; Apicomplexa; Aconoidasida; Piroplasmida; Theileriidae
Description: partial small subunit ribosomal RNA
Rfam family: Eukaryotic small subunit ribosomal RNA
Source: RNAcentral
UACGGAGUUUCUUUGUCUGAAUGUUUACUUUGAGAAAAUUAGAGUGCUCAAAGCAGGCUUUCGCCUUGAAUAGUUUAGCAUGGAAUAAUAAAGUAGGACUUUGGUUCUAUUUUGUUGGUUUUAGGUACCAAAGUAAUGG